GCCCCAGUAGCCCAAUUGGCAGAGGCAGCGGACUUAAAAUCCGCGUGUUGCGAGUUCGAGUCUCGCCUGGGGCA
This 74-nucleotide transfer RNA is filed under the name Arthrobacter sp. Its description in RNAcentral is "tRNA-Leu". It matches the Rfam family "tRNA". Rfam says of the family: Transfer RNA (tRNA) molecules are approximately 80 nucleotides in length. Their secondary structure includes four short double-helical elements and three loops (D, anti-codon, and T loops). The record is from RNAcentral. RNAcentral also lists the same sequence under 18 other names. Lineage: Bacteria; Bacillati; Actinomycetota; Actinomycetes; Micrococcales; Micrococcaceae.